UACGUAGGGUGCAAGCGUUAAUCGGAAUUACUGGGCGUAAAGCGUGCGCAGGCGGCUAUGCAAGACAGAUGUGAAAUCCCCGGGCUCAACCUGGGAACUGCAUUUGUGACUGCAUGGCUAGAGUACGGUAGAGGGGGAUGGAAUUCCGCGUGUAGCAGUGAAAUGCGUAGAUAUGCGGAGGAACACCGAUGGCGAAGGCAAUCCCCUGGACCUGUACUGACGCUCAGGCACGAAAGCUGGGGGAGCGAACAGG
Molecule: ribosomal RNA, 253 nt
Filed under: uncultured bacterium
Lineage: Bacteria
Description: partial 16S ribosomal RNA
Rfam family: Bacterial small subunit ribosomal RNA
Source: RNAcentral